GUACAGUCCACGCGGAGUGGGUACGACAGGCCAGUCGCGAGAGUGUUAGUGAGAUUCCGACUGGUGGGUGACCUUAGAUUAUGUGCACAGAUGAUUUAUGAGAAGCACUAGAGCGUAACUUAUGUGCAGAAGGCCGUACAGGUCACAGAGGUGACUCCGGCAGAGUGAGAGUGAUAGAUUUUGAGCUCUAGGUUCAACCGUACAGGGCUAUUAGAGGGCCUCCGGUUGAUUACUUUAUUGCACCUGAUAUGAUUUAUGUUGAUGCAUUCAUACCUUAUUACUGUUGAGAUGAUGUGGCAUGGCAUAAUUAUGAUGAAAAUGUUGAGUUAAUGAAUUGAAGUAUUGAGAAUAUAUAUAUGUAUAUUUAUAUUUUAUAUUUCUAGGAAAGUAUACAGGUUUUACGGAGAGGGGUUACAAUGUUUUGAUGAAAAGUUGGAUUUGAAAAGAUUUGUUUUACUGACCCACUCAAUUUUGGUUUUGCGCCCCUCCAGGUUCAGGAAUCACAAAGGUGUGGUGACUACGAGGAAUUCGACGGUGUUCUGACAGAUUGGACAAAAUUAGGACUCACCUUCGGGUGUAUCAACUUAUAAAUUGUAUAAUUAAAGCUUCCGUAACAGUAUACCACGCCUUCCUCCGCAGAGAUAUUGUCCGCUUUGUGGUGGAACCCGGCGCACCGGUCCGACCCCACUCACGGGUUUGUUUUUGCAAGCCGCAGCUCCAAAACGCGUCUCUGAAGAGUACAUGCGAGCGAAUACAUAUAAGGCCCAAGGACAGCCCUCACGUCGUCGAUGUGGGAUACUACAAUCCACCCCCCUUAGGGAGACCGACGUCCUCGUCGGCACACCGAACGGCCGUGAGUCUGGCUCUGAUACCAAACAGUAUACCACGCCUUCCACCACAAAGCGGACAAUAUCUCUGCGGAGGAAGGCGUGGUAUACUGUUUGGUAUCAGAGCCAGACUCACGGCCGUUCGGUGUGCCGACGAGGACGUCGGUCUCCCUAAGGGGGGUGGAUUGUAGUAUCCCACAUCGACGACGUGAGGGCUGUCCUUGGGCCUUAUAUGUACAAGCUCACAUGUACUCUUCAGAGACGCGUUUUGGAGCUGCGGCUUGCAAAAACAAAUCCGUGAGUGGGGUCGGACCGGUGCGCCGGGUUCCACCACAAAGCGGACAAUAUCUCUGCGGGAGGAAGGGGCGAAAAUUUAACAAUUUGGAUUGAGUUGGACACGUGGGAUCCCCACACCCCUCAAUCCUCUCCCUAUUUUCUGCAUACUGUCUCUCUCUCUCCUCCCUCACGAAUCUCUCUCUCUCUGUCACUCUUCUUCUCCGUUCGAACAAACCAACCACAAAACAACCUUAAACUUCCACCAACGACGGAGUUAAGACCACCAUCGAACUCCUGGAGACUCCACGAUCACGUAGACACCAAUUUCAGGUAAGUUUUACUUCGGAAAACCUAGAUUCUAAACUCCCCGUGAAAGUGCACUGUUCAUGAUCUUCGAAUUGACUUUGUUUUAGGACAAUCCAAGCUCACAGUGAGCUUAGUGAGGUUCCAAGGAAGCUCGGAGUGCUUCGUUGGAAGUUUUUUGGACGUAAGAACACGGAGAUCGAUAAGUUUAAAGUUUGGCCGGGAGCUUUCGAGGCAUUUUCCGGCGAAUCCCCGGCGAGUUAGGCGUCGAGGUAGGUAUCAAUCUCUUCGUCUCGUCAAGUACUACAACUUUCCUUUUUGUUUCACUCAAUUUCGUUGAGUAUUGAAGAAGUUAUACUCAUUUGAAAAAUACCCAGUUUCCGGCGACCUCCGAGGCUUUCGAGGCAGUUUCCGGCCAAACUACGGCGAACUAGGUGUUGGGAAAGGUACCAUUCUCUUUGUCUCUUCAAGGGCUACAACUUUCGUUUUUUUUGAAUCACUUGAUUUCGUUGAGAAAUGACAAAGUUAUGGCAAUUUGAAAAACUGCCCAGAAAACGGCCGCCGGAAAAAACCAGUCCGGCGACCCAAGGAAGAAGAAGGUGCUACAGUAAAAAUAAAAAUUAAAAAAAAAUUAUUUUAAAAAAUAUGUCGACGUCCGUGACGUCGAGUAGAUCACUGUGGUAUAUUCAUAUACCUAAAUUGAACACCGUAUGAGAAAGUUAUUGAAGAUUGUUGGUUAGGUGUUCAAUAACGUUUAUAGUUUUCACAUUUAGUGAAAAUGUGAAUUGAUGAUCCGACCGUUGGAUCGUCACCAAACUUUGAUACGUUGUAAACGUAAUAUUUGAGGAUUUAUUGGAACUUACGGAUUGGGAAUCCGAGUUACGGAUCUUCCGGAAUUGGAAUUGUAAGUCCAUAAUAUAAAAUGUUAACCGUCACUUAGUUUUGGAAAUUGACGGAAGAUCCGACCGUUGGAUGGUAAUGAAAUUUUAGGAUGUUGUCCUAGAGGUAUAAUGUGGACCUCUGGAAGUUAUGGAUUUAAAAUCUGAGGGGUGGACCUUCCGGAUCAAUCUACGUAGUGACGUAUUUUAUAUAAGUUAUAUAUUCUAUCGAUAUGAAUUCUGAGGUUGGAAUUGAUUAUGUUUUAGGGCGCGAUCGUCAUGACGCCUUGGCGUAUUGUGCUAGGGAGUUGUAGGGCGAACUCCAGGUGAGUGGGCAGUUUUGUUUUCCGUAUAUAUAUAUAUACUUAACGUUUUCCCAGAAAUUGAAAAAUGCAUGAAAUUAUGUUUAAAAUGAAAUGCAUAUGAGUUAUGUGGAAAAACGGGAAGUGAAAUACCAUGCAUAGAAUUGAUAUGAAAAGUAUAUAGAAAUGUGAGUUGAAAAUGCCAUGCAUGAAUUAUAUGAUGCAUAUGUAUGUAUGAAUUGGUGCGGUGGACGCACAGAUGAGUAUUUAAUUACUGUUAUGAUGAUGAUGAUAUAUAUUGAGCUCAAAUCCUGCACCAUGGUUUAGUGCUUAUAGUAUUCACCGCAUCGCACGCUCGCCUCGGAUCCAAGUAGAUGCUAGUCGUACAGUCCACGCGGAGUGGGUACGACAGACCAGUCGCGAGAGUGUUAGUGAGAUUCCGACUGGUGGGUGACCUUAGAUUAUGUGCACAGAUGAUUUAUGAGAAGCACUAGAGCGUAACUUGUGUGCAGAAGGCCGGACGGGUCACAGAGGUGACUCCGGUAGAGUGAUAAUGAUAGAUUUUGAGCUCUAGGUUCAACCGUAUAGGGCUAUUAGAGGGCCUACGGUUGAUUACUUUCUUGCACCUGAUAUGAUUAUGUUGAUGCAUUCAUACCUCAUUACUGUUGAGAUGACAUGGCAUGGCAUGAUUGAUAAAGAGAUAAUGUUGAGAUAGUAAAAAUGAAGUUUUGAGAAUAUAUAUGUAUAUUAUAUAUUUACAUUUCUGGGAAAGUAUACAGGUUUUACGAGAGGGGUUACAACGUUUUGAGAAAUGUUUGGAUUUGGAAAAGAAUUGUUUU
This 3425-nucleotide long non-coding RNA is filed under the name Malus domestica (apple). RNAcentral describes it as "long non-coding RNA (MDOM_LNC014373)". The record is from RNAcentral. Lineage: Eukaryota; Viridiplantae; Streptophyta; Magnoliopsida; Rosales; Rosaceae.